NNNNGCCCACGUGUGUCCGGCCUCCGCAGGGCCCUGGGCGGCGGCGCGGGAUGGGGCGGCGGUCAGCGUGUCACCGCUUGGUGGCCUCGUGUGCGCACAGCUGGGGCCCGGGGAGCACGGGGUUAAAGAAGUCAGUGGAAGAACAGCUGAUUUCUACGGUUUUAAUGACUACUUUGGGACCACUCACAUGACCCAACACACCGCAUACGUGAAAAUGUUCAUGGAAAGAACACCCAUCAAGUGUUCCUCAGAUGUCACCUUGGAGUUCCAGAGUCAACUAUAUUGCACACCAUGGGGAGACAUGGGAGAGAGAAGGAAAGAGAGAAAUCAGCAGAGAGAAGCUGAGGAAAAACCCACCAUGUGAACUGUGCCGGUGAUUCUGCCUGCCAUUUCCAUUAAUGAAUGUAUGGGCCAAAGGAGGCCAAGUUGUGGGGUAUCUGUUGCUCCCUAAAGUGAUCAGGUUUCCUGCUCGUGUAGCUUAGUUUGACUAUUUAU
Molecule: long non-coding RNA, 495 nt
Filed under: Mustela putorius furo (domestic ferret)
Lineage: Eukaryota; Metazoa; Chordata; Mammalia; Carnivora; Mustelidae
Description: lncRNA (ENSMPUG00000030341.1)
Source: RNAcentral